This 459-nucleotide ribosomal RNA is filed under the name uncultured bacterium. RNAcentral describes it as "partial 16S ribosomal RNA". It matches the Rfam family "Bacterial small subunit ribosomal RNA", at positions 338 to 795 of the family's 1533-position model. The record is from RNAcentral.
CCUACGGGUGGCAGCAGUGAGGAAUAUUGGUCAAUGGGCGAGAGCCUGAACCAGCCAAGUCGCGUGAGGGAAGACGGUCCUAUGGAUUGUAAACCUCUUUUGCCGGGGAGCAAAAAGCGGUACGCGUACCGCAUCGAGGGUACCCGGAGAAAAAGCAUCGGCUAACUCCGUGCCAGCAGCCGCGGUAAUACGGAGGAUGCGAGCGUUAUCCGGAUUUAGUGGGUUUAAAGGGUGCGCAGGCGGCGUGUUAAGUCAGCGGUAAAAUUUCGGGGCUCAACCCCGACAAGCCUUUGAAACUGGGUGGCUAGAGUGGAGGAGACGUAUGCGGAAUGUGUGGUGUAGCGGUGAAAUGCAUAGAGAUCACACAGAACUCCGAUUGCGAAGGCAGCUUACCGACGCCCAACUGACGCUCAGGCACGAAAGCGUGGGUAUCGAACAGGAUUAGAUACCCGAGUAGUC